CUGCUGCCUUCCGUAGGAGUUUGGACCGUGUCUCAGUUCCAAUGUGGGGGACCUUCCUCUCAGAACCCCUAUCCAUCGAUGCCUUGGUGGGCCGUUACCCCACCAACAAGCUAAUGGAACGCAUCUCCAUCGAUGACCGAAAUUCUUUAAUAGUUCUACCAUGCGGAAGAACUAUGCCAUCGGGUAUUAAUCUUUCUUUCGAAAGGCUAUCCCCGAGUCAUCGGCAGGUUGGAUACGUGUUACUCACCCGUGCGCCGGUCG
RNAcentral lists this ribosomal RNA (261 nucleotides) under uncultured bacterium. RNAcentral's name for it is "partial 16S ribosomal RNA". The record is from RNAcentral.